Molecule: ribosomal RNA, 202 nt
Filed under: uncultured bacterium
Lineage: Bacteria
Description: partial 16S ribosomal RNA
Rfam family: Bacterial small subunit ribosomal RNA
Source: RNAcentral
CUCGUAGGCGGCCAACUAAGUCGGAUGUGAAAUCCCCAGGCUUAACCUGGGAACUGCAUCCGAUACUGGAUGGCUUGAAUCCGGGAGAGGGAUGCAGAAUUCCAGGUGUAGCGGUGAAAUGCGUAGAUAUCUGGAGGAACACCGGUGGCGAAGGCGGCUUUCUGGACAGAUACCGACGCUGAGGCAAGCUAGGGAGCAAACA